AUUGAACGCUGGCGGCAUGCCUUACACAUGCAAGUCGAACGGUAACGGGCCUUCGGGUGCCGACGAGUGGCGAACGGGUGGGUAAUACAUCGGAACGUGCCCGAUCGUGGGGGAUAACGAGGCGAAAGCUUUGCUAAUACCGCAUACGAUCUACGGAUGAAAGCAGGGGACCGCAAGGCCUUGCGCGGACGGAGCGGCCGAUGGCAGAUUAGGUAGUUGGUGGGAUAAAAGCUUACCAAGCCGACGAUCUGUAGCUGGUCUGAGAGGAUGAUCAGCCACACUGGGACUGAGACACGGCCCAGACUCCUACGGGAGGCAGCAGUGGGGAAUUUUGGACAAUGGGCGCAAGCCUGAUCCAGCCAUGCCGCGUGCAGGAUGAAGGCCUUCGGGUUGUAAACUGCUUUUGUACGGAACGAAAAGCCUUCUUUUAAUACAGGGGGGUCAUGACGGUACCGGAAGAAUAAGCACCGGCUAACUACGUG
RNAcentral lists this ribosomal RNA (482 nucleotides) under uncultured bacterium. Its description in RNAcentral is "partial 16S ribosomal RNA". It matches the Rfam family "Bacterial small subunit ribosomal RNA", at positions 30 to 507 of the family's 1533-position model. The record is from RNAcentral.